Empidonax traillii (willow flycatcher) is the source of this 351-nucleotide long non-coding RNA. RefSeq lists it as uncharacterized. The transcript has 3 exons. The record is from RefSeq and is a predicted model, not a curated record. Lineage: Eukaryota; Metazoa; Chordata; Aves; Passeriformes; Tyrannidae.
GAGUCCAUAGAGCCAAUAUGUGUGUGUUCCUUCAGCAACACUCAGUCCUCAUCCUGCCCAGCACUUUGGUAUUCAAAUUUGUCACCUUACAAAGCUGUGGUUCUGCUGAGACCCUCUGGUCCCCCAACAGCAGCAGGACAUUGAAGGAUUUGAGCUGUGAUCUCCAAGCAGCUGCAACCCCCUGCUCUAACCCCCCUCAUUUCCACCUCAGCCACGGUUUCCUCAGCCCUACAUUUCCUCCAGGGAUGUGCAAAGAACACACAGAAGUUGAAGUUGCUGCUGUGUGAGGAAGAGAGCAGGUUCUGUGCAAGGUGGUGCUCACACUUGUGCUAGAGCCAUCCUUUGGUGAGU